RNAcentral lists this ribosomal RNA (667 nucleotides) under Cortinarius acutus. Its description in RNAcentral is "eukaryotic LSU rRNA". It matches the Rfam family "Eukaryotic large subunit ribosomal RNA", at positions 1 to 650 of the family's 3401-position model. Lineage: Eukaryota; Fungi; Basidiomycota; Agaricomycetes; Agaricales; Cortinariaceae. The record is from RNAcentral.
GUGACCUCAAAUCAGGUAGGAUUACCCGCUGAACUUAAGCAUAUCAAUAAGCGGAGGAAAAGAAACUAACAAGGAUUCCCCUAGUAACUGCGAGUGAAGCGGGAAAAGCUCAAAUUUAAAAUCUGGCAGUCUUUGGCUGUCCGAGUUGUAAUCUAGAGAAGUGCUAUCCGCGCUGGACCGUGUACAAGUCUCCUGGAAUGGAGCGUCAUAGAGGGUGAGAAUCCCGUCUUUGACACGGACUGCCAGGGCUUUGUGAUGCGCUCUCAAAGAGUCGAGUUGUUUGGGAAUGCAGCUCAAAAUGGGUGGUAAAUUCCAUCUAAAGCUAAAUAUUGGCGAGAGACCGAUAGCGAACAAGUACCGUGAGGGAAAGAUGAAAAGAACUUUGGAAAGAGAGUUAAACAGUACGUGAAAUUGCUGAAAGGGAAACGCUUGAAGUCAGUCGCGUCGUCCAGGGAUCAACCUCGCUGUUGCUUGGUGCACUUUCUGGUUGACGGGUCAGCAUCAAUUUUGACCAUUGGAAAAAGAUUAGGGGAAUGUGGCAUCUUAGGAUGUGUUAUAGCCCUUGGUUGCAUGCAAUGGUUGGGAUUGAGGAACUCAGCACGCCGCAAGGCCGGGUUUUCAACCACGUACGUGCUUAGGAUGCUGGCAUAAUGGCUUUAAUCGACCC